Molecule: ribosomal RNA, 482 nt
Filed under: Ascomycota sp. MS89
Lineage: Eukaryota; Fungi; Ascomycota
Description: eukaryotic LSU rRNA
Rfam family: 5.8S ribosomal RNA (bases 138-291)
Source: RNAcentral
AGCUGGAGUAUUUUAUUACCCUUGUCUUUUGCGCACUUGUUGUUUCCUGGGCGGGUUCGCUCGCCACCAGGACCACCAAAUAAACCUUUUUUAUGCAGUUGCAAUCAGCGUCAGUACAAACAAUGUAAAUCAUUUACAACUUUCAACAACGGAUCUCUUGGUUCUGGCAUCGAUGAAGAACGCAGCGAAAUGCGAUACGUAGUGUGAAUUGCAGAAUUCAGUGAAUCAUCGAAUCUUUGAACGCACAUUGCGCCCUUUGGUAUUCCAAAGGGCAUGCCUGUUCGAGCGUCAUUUGUACCCUCAAGCUUUGCUUGGUGUUGGGCGUUUUUGUCUUUGGUCGCCCAAAGACUCGCCUUAAAGUGAUUGGCAGCCGGCCUUUCUGGUUUCGCAGCGCAGCACAUUUUUGCGCUUGCCAUCAGCAAAACGGCAAUCCAUCAAGCCUCCUUCUCACGUUUGACCUCGGAUCAGGUAGGGAUACCCGC